RNAcentral lists this non-coding RNA (28 nucleotides) under Bombyx mori (domestic silkworm). Lineage: Eukaryota; Metazoa; Arthropoda; Insecta; Lepidoptera; Bombycidae. The record is from RNAcentral.
UAUCAGCUUUGCCUUAUUUGAACAAUUU